Molecule: ribosomal RNA, 304 nt
Filed under: uncultured bacterium
Lineage: Bacteria
Description: partial 16S ribosomal RNA
Rfam family: Bacterial small subunit ribosomal RNA
Source: RNAcentral
CAGCAGCCGCCGCGGUAAUACGUAGGGUGCGAGCGUUAAUCGGAAUUACUGGGCGUAAAGCGUGCGUAGGCGGUUUGUUAAGUCUGUUGUGAAAUCCCCGGGCUCAACCUGGGAAUGGCAAUGGAUACUGGCAAGCUAGAGUGUGUCAGAGGAUGGUGGAAUUCCCGGUGUAGCGGUGAAAUGCGUAGAGAUCGGGAGGAACAUCAGUGGCGAAGGCGGCCAUCUGGGACAACACUGACGCUGAGGCACGAAAGCGUGGGGGGCAAACAGGAUUAGAUACCCCAGUAGUCCCUGUCUCUUAUAC